AAGUCCAGUUCAAUUGUACUGAUAUAGAUGUCAACAUAUGAAUCAUCCUGUUUGAAUAAAAUAGAAAACAAUCAAUUGAAACAAAUUUCAAUAGCAGCGAACAAUCAAUCAUUAAGCAGAGGAGUGAAACAAACAAAAAAUGAAAAACAUAAAUAAAUAAAGCUGCAGGAAGUUUAAAACUUACUUGAGAACAACUUCAUGGCCACUCAUAGGUUUUUUUUUUCGAAAAACACCUAAAAACAUACACAGAAGAUCUAUUUAUGUCAAUCUAAAUGAACAAACAAAAACCAAAAUAUUUUAUAUCACAAUGUUACUUUUAUGAGAAUNNNNNNNNNNNNNNNNNNNNNNNNNNNNNNNNNNNNNNNNNNNUUCCAUAAGUAGCUUUAUUUCCUCCAAAUCCUUGAAUCUCGGUCAUCUUCUUCCUCCUACCAUAGGUUUUGGUGUUUUUACAAAUGGAAUUGGAAGGAAAUUUCGAGCUUUUUAUUAUCAUACUGGUGUUUUUGCAAAUAAGAUUAUUAUCAUAAAAAAAAUUGAUACAAAUCUAAAAAAACAAAACCUAAAAUUUAACAAAAAACAAAUCAAUCAUACUGUGGUGGAGAAAACCAUCUAAAUCCCACUAACAACUCCUAAAAGGUAGGGAUUAUUAACUAAAACAUAGAAACAAAUCCUAAUAAAUAUGUAAUUAAAUAAAAGCCAUUUUCAACUAAAAACAAUUUUUUUUUUAUUUCAAAAAUUAAAUAGUGAUUGAAAAAAGUAAUUAAAACAACAGACGAGGAAAGAAGGUUUUGAAUUUGUUUGGUGUGGCUGAGACUCUAAACUCAAUAACAGCUUAAAUAGACUCACCAUCUAACCCUAUUUCAAUAAUAAAAUGAAUAAAUCGAUUGAAA
This 887-nucleotide long non-coding RNA is filed under the name Trifolium pratense (red clover). Its description in RNAcentral is "long non-coding RNA (TPRA_LNC008435)". Lineage: Eukaryota; Viridiplantae; Streptophyta; Magnoliopsida; Fabales; Fabaceae. The record is from RNAcentral.